RNAcentral lists this ribosomal RNA (637 nucleotides) under uncultured archaeon. RNAcentral describes it as "bacterial SSU rRNA". It matches the Rfam family "Archaeal small subunit ribosomal RNA", at positions 220 to 859 of the family's 1478-position model. The record is from RNAcentral.
ACCGAUCAGGCUGUUGGUGAGGUAAUGGCCCACCAAACCUGUAACCGGUACGGGCUCUGAGAGGAGGAGCCCGGAGAUGGGUACUGAGACAAGGACCCAGGCCCUAUGGGGCGCAGCAGGCGCGAAACCUCUGCAAUAGGCGAAAGCCUGACAGGGUUAUUCUGAGUGACUUUCGCUAAGAAAGUCUAUUGACACCUCUAAAAAUGGUGUAGAAUAAGGGGUGGGCAAGUCUGGUGUCAGCCGCCGCGGUAAUACCAGCACCCCGAGUGGUCGGGACGAUUAUUGGGCCUAAAGCAUCCGUAGCCGGUUUUACAAGUCCUCCGUUAAAUCCAACUGCUUAACAGAUGGGCCGCGGAGGAUACUAUAAGACUAGGAGGCAGGAGAGGCAAGCGGUACUCAGUGGGUAGGGGUAAAAUCCGCUGAUCCAUUGAAGACCACCAGUGGCGAAGGCGGCUUGCCAGAAUGCGCUCGACGGUGAGGGAUGAAAGCUGGGGGAGCAAACCGGAUUAGAUACCCGGGUAGUCCCAGCUGUAAACGAUGCAGACUCGGUGAUGGACUAGCUUCAUGCUAGUCCAGUGCCGCAGGGAAGCCGUUAAGUCUGCCGCCUGGGUAGUACGGUCGCAAGACUGAAACUUAA